Molecule: ribosomal RNA, 588 nt
Filed under: uncultured marine eukaryote
Lineage: Eukaryota
Description: SSU rRNA
Rfam family: Eukaryotic small subunit ribosomal RNA
Source: RNAcentral
UUGCGGUUAAACGCUCGUAGUUGGGUUUCUGUCAGGAACAACUGGUCUGUCCUGAGUGUCGAGUACUAGUUCGGCUCCUGGCAUCUUCUUGGGGAACGGGUGCGCACUUCACUGUGUGGCCUGGAAACCUUGACGUUUACUUUGAGGAAAUGAGAGUGCUUCAAGCGGGUGUCCGCCACGAAUACGUUAGCAUGGAAUAAUAGUAUUGGACCUCGGAUCAUAGCUGUUGGUUGCUGGAAUCGGGGUGAGGGUAAACAGGGACAGUUGGGGGCAUUCGUAUUUAACUGUCAGAGGUGAAAUUCUUGGACUUGUUAAAGACGGACUACUGCGAAAGCAUUUGCCAAGGAUGUUUUCAUUGAUCAAGAACGAAAGUUAGGGGAUCGAAGACGAUCAGAUACCGUCCUAGUCUUAACCAUAAACCAUGCCGACUAGAGAUUGGAGGUCGUUGCUCUUCCGACGCCUUCGGCAUCUUGGGAGAAAUCAAAGUCUUUGGGUUCCGUGGGGAGUAUGGUCGCAAGGCUGAAACUUAAAGGAAUUGACGGAACGGCACCACCAGGAGUGGAGCCUGCGGCUUAAUUUGACUCACAC